Zerene cesonia (dogface butterfly) is the source of this 342-nucleotide long non-coding RNA. RefSeq lists it as uncharacterized. The record is from RefSeq and is a predicted model, not a curated record. NCBI's taxonomy places the organism in Eukaryota, Metazoa, Arthropoda, Insecta, Lepidoptera, Pieridae. The transcript is spliced from 4 exons.
GAAGAUGUUAAACAAACAGACACCAAUACUGAUAAAACUGCACAAAAUACACUUUACCCUUGGAGAAAACCGAAGGAGGUUCCAAUCCUGGUCACACCGGAUCCAGAGUCAAAACCGAAUGAGGUGCCAUUUUCAUGGAAUGUAAUUCCAGAAAUACCUCAGGCAGAACAAACACCAGAAUUGGAAGACAAUUACACACCAACAUUACGUGAAACAGAUACCUCUCCUGUACCUUGGAGAAGAUCUCGUUCUCCGCAGGCUGAUGUAAACCCCAAGGAAGAGAGCAAACCGUCGUUAGCAAUACCACAAGUAGCUAUUAGCGGCACUCCUCAAAAGACUGAU